This 253-nucleotide ribosomal RNA is filed under the name uncultured bacterium. Its description in RNAcentral is "partial 16S ribosomal RNA". It matches the Rfam family "Bacterial small subunit ribosomal RNA", at positions 524 to 776 of the family's 1533-position model. The record is from RNAcentral.
UACGAAGGGGGCGAGCGUUGUUCGGAUUUACUGGGCGUAAAGGGCGCGCAGGCGGCUUAUUUUGUCAGGCGUGAAAGCCCCGGGCUUAACCUGGGAACUGCGUUUGAUACGGAUGGGCUAGAGUUCGGGAGAGGAGAGUGGAAUUCCCAGUGUAGAGGUGAAAUUCGUAGAGAUCCGGAGGAACACCAGUGGCGAAGGCGACACGCUGGGCCAUACCUGACGCUAAAGCGCGACAGCAUGGGGAGCAAACGGG